This 74-nucleotide non-coding RNA is filed under the name Streptomyces aurantiacus. RNAcentral describes it as "partial 16S ribosomal RNA". It matches the Rfam family "Bacterial small subunit ribosomal RNA", at positions 1 to 74 of the family's 1533-position model. Lineage: Bacteria; Bacillati; Actinomycetota; Actinomycetes; Kitasatosporales; Streptomycetaceae. The record is from RNAcentral. RNAcentral also lists the same sequence under 7 other names.
UUCACGGAGAGUUUGAUCCUGGCUCAGGACGAACGCUGGCGGCGUGCUUAACACAUGCAAGUCGAACGAUGAAG